This 956-nucleotide ribosomal RNA is filed under the name uncultured Pandoraea sp. RNAcentral describes it as "bacterial SSU rRNA". It matches the Rfam family "Bacterial small subunit ribosomal RNA", at positions 43 to 993 of the family's 1533-position model. Lineage: Bacteria; Pseudomonadati; Pseudomonadota; Betaproteobacteria; Burkholderiales; Burkholderiaceae. The record is from RNAcentral.
CAGGCCUAACACAUGCAAGUCGAACGGCAGCACGGGUGCUUGCACCUGGUGGCGAGUGGCGAACGGGUGAGUAAUACAUCGGAAUGUACCUUGUAGUGGGGGAUAGCUCGGCGAAAGCCGGAUUAAUACCGCAUACGCUCUGAGGAGGAAAGCGGGGGACCUUCGGGCCUCGCGCUACAAGAGCAGCCGAUGUCAGAUUAGCUAGUUGGUGAGGUAAAAGCUCACCAAGGCGACGAUCUGUAGCUGGUCUGAGAGGACGACCAGCCACACUGGGACUGAGACACGGCCCAGACUCCUACGGGAGGCAGCAGUGGGGAAUUUUGGACAAUGGGCGCAAGCCUGAUCCAGCAAUGCCGCGUGUGUGAAGAAGGCCUUCGGGUUGUAAAGCACUUUUGUCCGGAAAGAAAUCCUCUGGGUUAAUACCUCGGGGGGAUGACGGUACCGGAAGAAUAAGCACCGGCUAACUACGUGCCAGCAGCCGCGGUAAUACGUAGGGUGCAAGCGUUAAUCGGAAUUACUGGGCGUAAAGCGUGCGCAGGCGGUUUUGUAAGACGGAUGUGAAAUCCCCGGGCUUAACCUGGGAACUGCAUUCGUGACUGCAAGGCUAGAGUAUGGCAGAGGGGGGUAGAAUUCCACGUGUAGCAGUGAAAUGCGUAGAGAUGUGGAGGAAUACCGAUGGCGAAGGCAGCCCCCUGGGCCAAUACUGACGCUCAUGCACGAAAGCGUGGGGAGCAAACAGGAUUAGAUACCCUGGUAGUCCACGCCCUAAACGAUGUCAACUAGUUGUUGGGGAUUCAUUUCCUUAGUAACGAAGCUAACGCGUGAAGUUGACCGCCUGGGGAGUACGGUCGCAAGAUUAAAACUCAAAGGAAUUGACGGGGACCCGCACAAGCGGUGGAUGAUGUGGAUUAAUUCGAUGCAACGCGAAAAACCUUACCUACCCUUGACAUGUACGG